RNAcentral lists this ribosomal RNA (573 nucleotides) under Ulva cf. rigida BW-2013 (clade E). Its description in RNAcentral is "eukaryotic LSU rRNA". The stretch from base 172 to 326 matches the Rfam family "5.8S ribosomal RNA". Lineage: Eukaryota; Viridiplantae; Chlorophyta; Ulvophyceae; Ulvales; Ulvaceae. The record is from RNAcentral.
GGAGGGAUCAUUGAAACCGAUCAAUCCACUCACAGAGCACCAGCGGGGUUCGCCCCGCCGUAGUUUUGGAUCCGCCGGUCCUCGCGGGCCGGUUGGAGCCUCCAACCCAGCAAACCCUCUGCCCUGAAGCAGCUUCGCACGGGGACACCCCCUGCGACGUUAACCAGAGACAACUCUCAACAACGGAUAUCUAGGCUCUCGCAACGAUGAAGAACGCAGCGAAAUGCGAUACGUAGUGUGAAUUGCAGAAUUCCGUGAGUCAUCGAAUCUUUGAACGCACAUUGCCGGUCGACUCUUCGGAGGAGACCACAUCUGCCUCAGCGUCGGAAUACCCCCUCACCCGUGCGGACAUGCGUGUCCGCACAGUGGAACUGGCCCCCCCGGGCGCGACCUCGUCGCCCGGGCCGGCUGAAAUGCAGAGGCUCGCGCGCGGCCCACUCGUGGCCCCGACUAGGUAGGUAGCUCGCUACUGCUAGGCGGCGGCUCGGCGCUCGCGUGCUGUGGGCCCGAAAGGAUAACCCCUCAUUCAUUCGACCUGAGUUCAGGUGAGGCUACCCGCUGAACUUAAGCAUA